Molecule: ribosomal RNA, 802 nt
Filed under: uncultured Staphylococcus sp.
Lineage: Bacteria; Bacillati; Bacillota; Bacilli; Caryophanales; Staphylococcaceae
Description: bacterial SSU rRNA
Rfam family: Bacterial small subunit ribosomal RNA
Source: RNAcentral
GCGGCGUGCCUAAUACAUGCAAGUCGAGCGAACAGACGAGGAGCUUGCUCCUCUGACGUUAGCGGCGGACGGGUGAGUAACACGUGGAUAACCUACCUAUAAGACUGGGAUAACUUCGGGAAACCGGAGCUAAUACCGGAUAAUAUAUUGAACCGCAUGGUUCAAUAGUGAAAGACGGUUUUGCUGUCACUUAUAGAUGGAUCCGCGCCGCAUUAGCUAGUUGGUAAGGUAACGGCUUACCAAGGCAACGAUGCGUAGCCGACCUGAGAGGGUGAUCGGCCACACUGGAACUGAGACACGGUCCAGACUCCUACGGGAGGCAGCAGUAGGGAAUCUUCCGCAAUGGGCGAAAGCUUGACGGAGCAACGCCGCGUGAGUGAUGAAGGUCUUCGGAUCGUAAAACUCUGUUAUUAGGGAAGAACAAAUGUGUAAGUAACUAUGCACGUCUUGACGGUACCUAAUCAGAAAGCCACGGCUAACUACGUGCCAGCAGCCGCGGUAAUACGUAGGUGGCAAGCGUUAUCCGGAAUUAUUGGGCGUAAAGCGCGCGUAGGCGGUUUUUUAAGUCUGAUGUGAAAGCCCACGGCUCAACCGUGGAGGGUCAUUGGAAACUGGAAAACUUGAGUGCAGAAGAGGAAAGUGGAAUUCCAUGUGUAGCGGUGAAAUGCGCAGAGAUAUGGAGGAACACCAGUGGCGAAGGCGACUUUCUGGUCUGUAACUGACGCUGAUGUGCGAAAGCGUGGGGAUCAAACAGGAUUAGAUACCCUGGUAGUCCACGCCGUAAACGAUGAGUGCUAAGUGU